RNAcentral lists this ribosomal RNA (431 nucleotides) under uncultured bacterium. Its description in RNAcentral is "partial 16S ribosomal RNA". It matches the Rfam family "Bacterial small subunit ribosomal RNA", at positions 355 to 804 of the family's 1533-position model. The record is from RNAcentral.
UGGGGAAUAUUGGACAAUGGGGGCAACCCUGAUCCAGCAAUGCCGCGUGUGUGAAGAAGGUCUUCGGAUUGUAAAGCACUUUCGACGGGGACGAUGAUGACGGUACCCGUAGAAGAAGCCCCGGCUAACUUCGUGCCAGCAGCCGCGGUAAUACGAAGGGGGCUAGCGUUGCUCGGAAUGACUGGGCGUAAAGGGCGUGUAGGCGGUUUACACAGUCAGAUGUGAAAUCCCCGGGCUUAACCUGGGAGCUGCAUUUGAUACGUGUAGACUGGAGUGUGAGAGAGGGUUGUGGAAUUCCCAGUGUAGAGGUGAAAUUCGUAGAUAUUGGGAAGAACACCGGUGGCGAAGGCGGCAACCUGGCUCAUGACUGACGCUGAGGCGCGAAAGCGUGGGGAGCAAACAGGUUAGAUACCCUGGUAGUCCACGCUGUA